CUUUCUACUUAUAAGUAGGUUUGACUGCUUAUAAGUCAAAUCAAACACUUUCUAAAUGCUCAUCUUCAAUAUCUUUUGAAGUCAUUGUAUUUUGAUCAGAAUCCAACAUGUUUAAAAUAAUUUGAUCAGAAUCCUAAUAUCUUUUAAAUAAGUUACAUGUAUUUUUAAUAAUUUCAUUGCUUCAUGCUCUUUAUAUGAAUUCUGAUGAUUGUGGGAACAGUCAAACAUCUCUGGCAAAAUCAUUUGCCUUUAAGUAAUUUGGGCCCUUUUACUUUCUUCUUUUAAUUAUUUUCAGAACUUUGAAAUGAAAAUGAGCAAGGUAAGUCUAGGCUGUUAGUGAAAAUGGAGUUUUGGGUGGCUUUCUAGCAAGUGUAAGAGUGGAAAUAACAAUAUAAUUUGAGACCAAAAAAAAAAAGAACAUGAAUAGAUAAAAAACAAUUUUGAAAAAGAAAAGGGGAAAAGGAAACACUAGUAAAUGUUUGAAAUCAUGUUAUGAAACCUCAUUGCGAUGCUUUACAAGGUGUUAGAAAAACUGAAAAAGAGAGAUUAACCACUCAUUAACUCCAAAAAAGAACUUCAAACGAUAAUUUCAUUCUGUGUUUGUUAACUACGAGAGGAAAAGAGAUAAUUUUUGCAUAGACUAAGAAAACCUUGUGGAUAUUUUUCCUCAGUUGAUUAAGAGAUGUUUUUGACCUUUUCUUUUGGUAUUUUCGUUGUGUUUUUGUGGUUUCUGCUUCAUACAUGCUUGUUUUAGGUCUUCACUGUCAGUUUUAGAGACAGUAUUGGGUAACCAUUAACUUUAUUAUCAAUCAUUAUCAAUUUUAUACAUGCAGUUAAUAAAUCCAUUAUUAACUUUAUCACCGGUGUUAGAAAUGGUACUGGAAAGCCAUGAACUUCAUUGUCAAUCAUGAAAUUGCAAUGAGCAGUUAAACUUUCUCAUUUUUCUGUGCAUGACAUGAAGUGCUAAUAAUUUAAACUUUGAACUUAUUCCAGUUGAGAAAGCCCAUAUUUGGA
Molecule: unclassified non-coding RNA, 1014 nt
Filed under: Hevea brasiliensis (rubber tree)
Lineage: Eukaryota; Viridiplantae; Streptophyta; Magnoliopsida; Malpighiales; Euphorbiaceae
Source: RNAcentral